This 587-nucleotide long non-coding RNA is filed under the name Panax ginseng (ginseng). RNAcentral's name for it is "long non-coding RNA (PGIN_LNC013050)". Lineage: Eukaryota; Viridiplantae; Streptophyta; Magnoliopsida; Apiales; Araliaceae. The record is from RNAcentral.
GAAAUGUUAGACUAAUCAAAUGUUAAUGAUAAACAAGUAGCCAAUUGAACUAAAGGAAUUAUACACCGAGGCACUGUCAAUCGUCUUCCUCCUCCAUCCCAAAUAGCUUCCAUAUCAAUCCCUUCCAAUGACCAUAGGGUCGUGAAUCCCACAUGAACGGUUCCAAUAAUAAACUAUGCCAACCGAAAAACCUGAAGCAAAGUUUAGGGUUUUGAAUUUGGGAAAUUUUGUAAAUCACCCUUUAUUCCGAAGAUUGAAAAUUAAACGACAAUUGGCAACAGAGAUGAGGGAGCUACCUUUAACAGCUGCAGGAAGAUUACCAAAGACGAGGACGACGACUCUUUCUUGCCUCUUUUUUGUUUUAUUUUUUGGCGAACUUGCUCGACGACGAGAUCAAGGACUCUCAACAGCGAGACGGGGCGACUUAACUUCCUACCUCAUCCUCUUUUUUCGUUUCUUCUUCGCUGAACUUGCUCAACUGCGGCAAAAGGAUGGUAACAACUUUUUGCCGCCUUUAUUUUCUUUCAAGCGAUUAUACUCUCUCGCUUUUACUGUGGUUGUAAUUAUGUUUUUUGGAAAAAGGUUGG